GGUUGUGGCUUAGUGGUAGAGCGCUUGCCCAGCAUGUGUGAGGCACUGGGUUCAAUUCUCAGCACCA
RNAcentral lists this transfer RNA (67 nucleotides) under Marmota monax (woodchuck). Its description in RNAcentral is "tRNA.Ala". Lineage: Eukaryota; Metazoa; Chordata; Mammalia; Rodentia; Sciuridae. The record is from RNAcentral.